GAUUAGCAUUUCUGAGAAAUGACUACCAGCAAUUUAGUUAAACUUUUCACUUUUCUGUCUUUUGUGAAGACUGGCCGCAUGACCUCUGGGUGGUUCCCUGGCUGGUCAUUUAUUAAAUGCUACUAGGGAAGGAAGAAAACUGCUAAAAAAAUAAUAAUAGUAACCACAAAAAGGUAUGGAAAGGAUAGCUCUCCGGGAAGCUGUAUGUGAGGUCCAUGUAGAUAUAUCUCUUCUUCCUCUAACAGCAAGUCAGUAACCAUCUUCAGUGGCUCUGUGGAAAAUGGCAUUUCUUUUUCCUGAUGAGACUCUGACUUGAAAAAGGCUACAUUCCUAUAGUUUACCAGGACCUGGUCAUCUUAAAAAAAAAAAAA
Carlito syrichta (Philippine tarsier) is the source of this 371-nucleotide long non-coding RNA. RefSeq lists it as uncharacterized. The transcript has 3 exons. The record is from RefSeq and is a predicted model, not a curated record. Lineage: Eukaryota; Metazoa; Chordata; Mammalia; Primates; Tarsiidae.